This is a small nucleolar RNA of Benincasa hispida (wax gourd), 105 nucleotides long. The record is from RefSeq and is a predicted model, not a curated record. NCBI's taxonomy places the organism in Eukaryota, Viridiplantae, Streptophyta, Magnoliopsida, Cucurbitales, Cucurbitaceae.
AGUCCAUGAUUCGGGCAAUUUUUUACCAAUCCCUUAAAACGCUCCCAUGCAGCGCUUAGGGUUUCAGCUUCUUCUUGCUCAAAAGUUCAUAAUCUCUCGACGCCU